This is a long non-coding RNA of Megalobrama amblycephala (Wuchang bream), 1073 nucleotides long. RefSeq lists it as uncharacterized. The record is from RefSeq and is a predicted model, not a curated record. NCBI's taxonomy places the organism in Eukaryota, Metazoa, Chordata, Actinopteri, Cypriniformes, Xenocyprididae. The transcript is spliced from 2 exons.
UCACCUCUUUUCUCACAGUGUCUGAAACGGUUUGAUCAAGGAUUCGGUCUCUCUAAACCCCUCCUUUCUGACAGCCUACUUGAUUGGUCAGAUGGCCCAGUCUGUUGUGAUUGGUCUACCGCUUACAGCGUGUGCCAAAAACCAAAUGCCUAUUACCAUAUCUGAAUUUCAGCUUGAUACAGAGUGAUACAAACAGUAACAAUGGAAUUGAUUCUUUCUUUUGUUAGACAGUAACUCCAUUUAUUGUGCACUUUUAGCUUUUACAUUCACAAACAGCCAUAUUACACACUGCAUGAAAGGGAAUAUGCGAAAAAGCAUAAUAGGGGCAUUUUAAUUAUAUUGUCAAUGUUUGUCUUUAUAAUCGGCAGUACUGUAGAUGUGUCCAGGAAGAUAUUGAGCACAUGACUGGAAGUGAAAUGUGAAAGACAUAAGAUGCGAUUUACGCAAAACUGACUUCAUGUUGUGUAUUGUCAAGUGUUUAGCCACACAGGGUUCAAAAUUAACACUCUCUGAGACCAAAUUGCCCAAGACAACGUAAUAAGUGAUUCAAAUCAAACCAUGUACUGAAGAAAACAUAUGUCUGACAACUUUUACCUCAGUAGAGAAUUUUCCAUCAUAGGUUUAUCUAGGAUGCAUCGAGUUUUUUCCCCCAUAACUUCAUGUGGAGACAAGUAUGUGGAAUAUUUCUCAUAUUAAAGGGAUAGUUCACCCAAAAAUGAAAAUUCUGUUAAAACAGUUAUUAUGAGUUUCUGUCUUCUGUUGAACACAAAAGAAGAUAUUUUGAAGAAUGUUAAUAACCAGACAUUUGACAGUAUUGACUUGCAUACUAUUUCUUUUUUCCUACUAUGGAAGUAUAUGGCUGUUUGAUUACCAACAUUCUUCAAAAUAUCUUCUUUUGUGUUCAACAGAAGAAGAAACUCAUACUGGUUUGGAACAACUUGAGGGCCAUCUGGUUAGGUAGGUAGCAUGGUCAAUUUUCUCUCCUCUUAUCUUCCGUCUGCCUCAUACCAGUGGUGUUUACACAUGAAUGUAAAACUAAUACUGAUUUAAUAAAGAACUUUCAUAUCCCUGGA